This is a long non-coding RNA of Phacochoerus africanus (Common warthog), 1771 nucleotides long. RefSeq lists it as uncharacterized. NCBI's taxonomy places the organism in Eukaryota, Metazoa, Chordata, Mammalia, Artiodactyla, Suidae. The record is from RefSeq and is a predicted model, not a curated record. The transcript has 3 exons.
AGAGAGAGAGAAAGCAGAGGAAUUGUGGCUCCGCAUGUGGGAACUAGGGCAGACAGAAGCCAAAUUCAGAGAAGCAGGAGGGGGAACUUGCUUUUAUAGGGAAAAGGGGGAGGCGGGCGGGGCUGUGGUAACUGAAGAGCCCAUUGGAGGACCUGGGGUGCGAGUCCGAAAUAUGGAGGCUUCCAUUGGCUGAGGCUGCAGUCUCUGAUUGGCUGGGCGUCCUGGGGCGGAGGGACGUUUCCUUCCUUCCGCAGAGGUAAGUGGAGGCACCUUCCUGCCCAGGAGGUAGGCAGGGAUCUCUUCCUGUUUGGGGUAAUUGACUUGUGUGGCCGCUGUGAGAGCUCCCGAGAGGGGCGUCCGCGUUCCAGCUCUAGCUGAGGAUUCGUGCUGAAUAAUAUUCCACUGCCUGGCUGGACCACAGCUGUUCAUCUGUCCACCUGCCGAAGGCCAUCUCCGUUACUGCCGAGCUUUGGAAUUUUGAGCAAAGCUGUGACAAACCCUUGCGUGGAUGGGCUGUGGAUAUAAGUUUACAACUCUUUUGGGUAAAUACAAAGGCACACGACUGCUGGAUUAUAAGUCUUGAAAGCCUCAGAGCAGAAGCAUCUUCUCGCUCUGAAGAGCUGAAGUCUGCACACAAUGGAUGGCGCGGACAGGAAGUUUUGAAGGUCUGAAGGGCAGGCAUCAGCGCCGCCUCUGGAAGCAUCUGUGGCUGAGAUGAAGGCCUUCACGCAGCGUCUUCUUUAGAACGCCAGACUUGGGGGUCAGGGCUUUGCACACUGUUGGGGUGGCUGCAUCUUCUCAUGUGAUACAAGCAUCAGCCGAAGCUGAAAUGACGGAAGUGGGACGCACGCCCUCUCUCCGUCUUUCCCGAGUGGCGCUCCCCCCACGGAGACCCGCCUGAGUACCAAACGCCUUACAGGUCUCUGCGUGCAACCGGGGAUGGAGAGAGAAACAGCAGGCAGCUGCCCGUCUCUACGUGCGGUCCUCGGUGCUUGCAGGAGGGUCCGUGCAGCCCCCAGCGAGAAGCCCGCCGCCGCCAGAUGCCAGCUGCAGCGGCAAGCCUGCCUACCACGCGUUGCCCUGGGUCUUGUCAGUGACGGGCAGCUUUUCUGCUACAAGGCGCUCCAGAGGAGAGGCAGGGAAGACUUGCCAGCACGAGGUGGCUGCCUGGGCGGCGGAGCUGGUGAGCUCCCCCCUCUUGCCUUUGCAGGUGAUCGGGUGGCUAGAGAGCGCCUUAAAUGUUUUUUUCUAGAAGGGAUGGAAUUUAUGGACCCAGAAGAGUGUUGUCUGGCCGCUUUUCCCAGGAAGGUGCAAAAUGCUUGGAAUCUUUUUUGGAAUGAACUUCAGAACCAGGGGCCCGUUCUGUGGCAUAUCCUUCACGGCCAGAAGCCAUCAUCCUGUGAAGAUGUUUCGCAGGUUUUGAAGUGAUCCAGCGUCACUCAGGACGAGUCUGAUGACACAUCUGGGCAUCGAGCUGUAAAGAGUCAUGGGACUAAAGCGUCUCCAAAGUGGUUUCAGGGACAAGAGUUUUGCAUCACGGGGAAGCGUGUGUUGCUCUAGAAGAUGUCGCAGCUGCGGAAACACUGCACGCACCUGUCCUGAUGCCACUGUGUGCUGUGGCUUUUAGUAGCAAGCGGACAUUCUGAAUCCCAGGUUCAUGGCAGGAAGCCACCGAGGGUCUUUUCUCACUGUUCUCUGCAUUUGAUGGCAACUGCAUUACAGAUACUUGUAAAAGCCCAUUUUAUCUUUCAAAGCUAUUUUUUUUUUUCAG